CUCUUUUUGAUAAUAAUUUAAAGUAGGGCCUGCCCACUGAAUAUAAUUUGAAGGGCCGCAGUAUUUUGACUGUGCAAAGGUAGCAUAAUCAUUAGUUUUUUAAUUGAAAGCUUGUAUGAAUGGUUUGAUGAGAAAAUUUCUUUCUAUAUUUAAUUUUUAAAUAAUUUUAUUUUUAAGUUAAAAAGCUUAAAUAUUAAUAAAAGACGAGAAGACCCUAUAGAGUUUAAUAUAAUUUAAUAUUUAAAAAUUUAGAAUUUAUUAUUUUAUAAUAUUAUCUUGUAUUUGAUUGGGGUGAUUAAAAAAUUAAAAUAACUUUUUUUAAAAAAAAACAUUAAUUUAUGAGUAUUUGAUCCAUAUAAAUGAUUAAAAGAAUAAAUUACCUUAGGGAUAACAGCGUUAUUUUUUUUUAGAGUUCUUAUCGAAAAAAGAGAUUGCGA
RNAcentral lists this ribosomal RNA (437 nucleotides) under Propylea quattuordecimpunctata. Its description in RNAcentral is "Propylea quatuordecimpunctata partial 16S ribosomal RNA". Lineage: Eukaryota; Metazoa; Arthropoda; Insecta; Coleoptera; Coccinellidae. The record is from RNAcentral.